Molecule: ribosomal RNA, 465 nt
Filed under: Vreelandella stevensii
Lineage: Bacteria; Pseudomonadati; Pseudomonadota; Gammaproteobacteria; Oceanospirillales; Halomonadaceae
Description: partial 16S ribosomal RNA
Rfam family: Bacterial small subunit ribosomal RNA
Source: RNAcentral
CCUACGGGUGGCAGCAGUGGGGAAUAUUGGACAAUGGGCGAAAGCCUGAUCCAGCCAUGCCGCGUGUGUGAAGAAGGCCUUCGGGUUGUAAAGCACUUUCAGUGGGGAAGAAAGCCUUGGGGCUAAUACCCUCGAGGAAGGACAUCACCCACAGAAGAAGCACCGGCUAACUCCGUGCCAGCAGCCGCGGUAAUACGGAGGGUGCGAGCGUUAAUCGGAAUUACUGGGCGUAAAGCGCGCGUAGGCGGUCUGAUAAGCCGGGUGUGAAAGCCCCGGGCUCAACCUGGGAACGGCAUCCGGAACUGUCAGGCUAGAGUGCAGGAGAGGAAGGUAGAAUUCCCGGUGUAGCGGUGAAAUGCGUAGAGAUCGGGAGGAAUACCAGUGGCGAAGGCGGUCUUCUGGACUGACACUGACGCUGAGGUGCGAAAGCGUGGGUAGCAAACAGGAUUAGAUACCCCGGUAGUC